Brachypodium distachyon (stiff brome) is the source of this 494-nucleotide long non-coding RNA. RefSeq lists it as uncharacterized. The record is from RefSeq and is a predicted model, not a curated record. Lineage: Eukaryota; Viridiplantae; Streptophyta; Magnoliopsida; Poales; Poaceae. The transcript has 3 exons.
AGAAUACUACUGUUGGUGUGGAGGAGAACCAAGGUCAGCAGAUAGCAAAUGAGGAGAAUCCCAAGUCCUGUGAGCAUGAAUCACAAGGAAGUGAUGAAAAUUAAACUGGUCUCUUGUAUGGAGGAAAUGACAUUCUUUUCGAGUCAUAUAGAUGAUGAAGUAUGGGCAAAUGUCUUGUAUGGAGGAAAUGACAUUCUGCAAGAGUUAACUGUAACAUUGCCAGCAUUUAGUCAGUAUACAGGUCAGAGCUUAUUGAAACUUACUCAUUGGAGAGCACUGAUAGAGCAUCGAAUUUCAUCAUUGGGAAGCUUGAGGUGGAGAUGGUUCCUUAAUCUGCAGUAAAAGUACCAAGGUGAGUCAAUAUUAGGAGUACAAGUAUAUGCAUGUCAACAAGUAAAAUAACUCUAGAGCAUGUCAACUGUUUAUGCAUAUGUGACUUCAAGACCAUAAACACAUUUUUUCAGCAGACACUAAAAGCAUGUCAAGCAGGUUAG